Molecule: RNase MRP RNA, 315 nt
Filed under: Conidiobolus coronatus NRRL 28638
Lineage: Eukaryota; Fungi; Entomophthoromycota; Entomophthoromycetes; Entomophthorales; Conidiobolaceae
Description: RNase MRP
Rfam family: RNase MRP
About the family: RNase MRP is an enzymatically active ribonucleoprotein with two distinct roles in eukaryotes. In mitochondria it plays a direct role in the initiation of mitochondrial DNA replication.
Source: Rfam by way of RNAcentral
GAAUGUCAGGAAGGAUUGUGUCAAUUGAAAUAUAAACCGAUAGGAAUGGUCUUGUAUUGAUUCCUCUCACAUAGUUUCAGGGCAAGUCCUCGGAUCCAUUCGCAACUCUAGGGUUGCGUGUCUAAUCUCACGAUUAGAGGGAAAGCCAAGCUAGUAAAUAGAUAGCCAAUCUUAACGGUGUGUUAUCUGGCCAUGAUGGGUUCGCCUUAGCUUCCUUCAUGCUGUUAUAGAUUGUUAUCAUCAUAUUCUUAGUUAUGCAAUCGGGAGAUAUACUUGUAUAUCUUCUAACACAACGAGGCUCACUCUCUUGACAUU